ACGCUUUAAUUCAGAUGUCAAUGGCUGUACUUUUGGAUUUAUUACUCAAGCCAUUGAUGAUCAAAGGCAAAUUUGUCUUGAAUCACACCACCUUAGGUCAUGACUGAAAUGUUUCAAAAUUUUUACCCUCAGGUCCCACUUGACAUGACUGAAAAUGUCUGAGAUCCACCAGUCACAGAAUAGUGGUUCAGACUGAGCCAGAGCCAGUCACAAAAUGGUGGCAAAUGAAGGCAGAGUUUGGCAUAAUCAGCUGGCAAUUUCUGAAAUCAUUUUCUACUUUGAAAAUUGCUAAAUUCUUUACCACAGCAUUUUCCUUAUGGCAAGGAGUUCCACAGCUCAGCUUUCCUCAAGCUCAGUACAGACAUUUGCCUGGAGGUAUCCCUAUUCUAGACACAGUUUGCUGAUCCAAAGGCUUCAAGUAGAGAAGGCUUUUUCUUGUAUAUUUUCCCCUUCCCACCUCUCUGUCUCUGUACCAACGCUGCCUCUGGAAAAUUCUGCAAAUUACUUGGGAAGAUAGGCAGACCAAUGUUAGCGUAUUGGAAGAAGCAAAGACCACCAGUGUUGAAACAACGAUGCUCCAACAUCAACUUUGCUGGACCAGCCAUGUUGAUCGAAUGCCUGAUCACCAUCUUCCAAAGCAGCUACUUUACUCGCAACUUAAGGAUGGAAAAUGGAAUAUUGGUGGACAGCAAAAGAGGUUUAAAGAUGUUCUCAAAGCUAAUCUAAAAAGCAUCGAGAACUGGGAAGCCUUGGCCCAUGAGCAUCCCAAGUGGAGGUCGGCCAUUAUCAAAGGUGCUAUGGACUUUGAAGAAGCACAAGUACAGGGCGAAAGGGACAAACGAGCUAAGCGGAAGGCAUGUCAAGCAAAUCCUGUCAAGCAAAUCCUCAUCAUGACCAUCUUCCAUCUGGAAACCUAUGUCCUCACUGUGGGAGGAUGUGUGGAUCCAGAAUUGGCCUCCACAGUCACUUACGGACCCACUGUUAAAGACCUUACCCUGGAAGACAAUCUUACUCGGCCAUGAGUAAUCGCUAGUGACUGGUGGGUCUCAGUAGUUUUCAGUCAUAUCAUGUGAGACCUCAGGGUAAAAAGUAUUUUUACCUAUCUCCUGUAAUUUCUUCUUUCAUUUUCCUUGUAACCUCAACUUGUACCUUAUUCUUCCUGCCCUCAUCAAACUGCCAGUUUCUUUCAUCCCUCCCCCAUGGUCAUUUUACAUUCACUUCUUCUACCUGCAACAGAUUUCCUCUCUCCCCUUCUUCUUUUCUGUUUAUAGUUUGUUUAAUAAUUAAUUAAAAACAUUACCAUUUUAUCUCAGUUUCUAAUUUCCUUCAACAUCUCCUCCGGCCCUUUUCCUUCACCCCCCUGAAUUUCUGUUUCUCCCAGCUACCUUUACUCACCAUGCAAGGAAUUGCUGGCGUCGCUACUGGUCCAACUAAAAGGCUAUGAAACAACUGGGGGCUGGGAUAGGCAAGUGAGGAGGCACUGGGUGGUACUGAGGCUCACCUGAAGUUGACCCCAAGCACACUGGUGGGCCCAAACCCACUGUUUGAGAAAUGCAGUUCUAGAAGGCAAGCUUAGCAGCUUGCCCAUCAAAAUGUUAUUGGUUUUCUACUAUCUUCUACCUUUUGCUGGGGCAAAGUUAGGCCUCUGUUAGAUACAACAAAUGGGGAAUAAGACUGAAGGAACAAAUCGGUGAGAGGUGGAAUGCCUUGGGAUGUCUGGGUGUGGAUCUAGCAACUCUAUUAAUAAGGAUGAAUAAGAAUCUUGGUUUUGUAACGGAGAUUCAGUUGUGGAUUUUCAUAGCAUGUACUUUGCCUGUGACUUAACUACUUUCAUUUUCCUAAUCACUGGUUUUUUGUUCCAUUCCAGGUGGCAUUACACCCUCAACAUCUGCAAUUUCAAGUCUACUAUAAACUGUAAUUUCAAUAUAAAUAAGAGGAAAUUGGGGUGGGGGAAUUUCCAGGAUUGGCCCUGGAUUCUGCUACCCUGAUGUUUUACUGAACAAAUUAAUUAAAUACAAGUUUGUUAAUUGAUUAAAAACUUUCAGUCACUUAGCAGUGCUAAUAUUUAUGUAAAAGCACAAAUGUCACCACUUAGAUUACACCACAAGAUGUUACAAUGUCGAUAGAACAGUCUCAUAGAAAAUGGCUGACUAAGCCUGUCUUGCUAUAACUAAGGUUCUAUCCAUUCCACUGUAAUUGAAAAGUUCAUGGUGGGUAGAUUCAGUGUGGAGCAAAGGACAGCCAUUUUUAACAUUUUUAAGGAACUUUCUAAAAUGAAGGGUGGUAGGUAUCACAUUUGCCUGGAAGUUGAACUUUCUUCUCUGGCAGAUCUUACCUGGAUUCCCAGAUACACAUGGUAUUGAAAUUACGUGUGUUGGGAGAAAGUACUUUUGAGUAGCCUGCCUCUCUUUUGUUUAUACACAUAUACACUGCUUUUCUUCCAAUGCUAGAACUUAAAACAGGUUCUGGGCCUAAGGUCCCCAUUAGGCUCUGCUUAGAGACUCCAACAAUAAACUAGCUCUGCUCCGGACACAAGUAAAUGCAAUUGGCCCCGCCUGCACUUUGUAUUAUGUCAGUUAAUAUGAUUUCUCAAGGUCCUUUUUCCAGCUGGAUGCAGUUUUAUUGCAAAUAAAACCCCAAUGGGACCAGAGGCUGCAGCAGGAGAACUGCAGCUGCCAGCUGCUAGAAGGUAGGAAGACAUGAACUUCCAGUGGAGAAAAAGAAUGCCCAGCAGAACACAAAACUGUGGAGGACACAGUUGGAGAUAAGUGCAGGAGAAUGUUAAGUUGACAUCUAAGGACUCCAUCAGAGACCAGUAAAGGGAGGUGGGGAGGAACUGGAAAACUGGAUGUAUAUAAUAAAGCAGUAAAAGCAGAAUGGCAGGUUAAUAUGUUACUUGUCUGAUACUUUGAUGAUUCUUAGUGACAAAAAAGAGAAAAGCUAACCAAUCUACUAAUAUUACUAUAUCUUAUAGAGCUGCUUGAUUGCCAGAGGAAGACAUUGCACUUAAAAGUACAGCAAGUAAAUAAGUUGCUGAUUUGUCUUCCUUUAAUUUAUGUUUUCUCAGAAGUAAGCCUCACAGUUUAUGAAACACUGCCCAACCACCUGAUCCCAAUGCACAUUUUCUCAGAAGAAAGUUCUGCUGAAUUCAGUAGGACUUCUUUCCCCAACCUAAUACCAAGAUCCAGUGUGGAGGGUUAGACUGAACAGUACAGUAUAUUCUGCCAUAGAAGAAGCAAGCCUGUGGAAAGCAACCCAAUAUCCUAUGUCAAGAGAACACAAUCUUUUUGAGUUCUGAUCCCAUCCCAUUGCAUGCCUUAAGCUAAGAGAAAAGUGUUCUUGGACCUGUAGAUUGACAUUUAUUUAGAAAGCAAUACUGUGCCAGGAUCUAGAGAGGUACUUUGAAAAAUGGAAAUGGACUGCCUUCAAGUCGAUCCUGACUUAUGGCUACCAUAUGAAUAGGGUUUUCAUAGUUAACGGUAUUCAGAGGGGGUUUACCAUUGCCUCCCUCUGAGGCUAGUCCUACCCUGCUCAGCUUGCCACAGCUGCACAAGCCAGCCCCUUCCUUGUCUGCAACUGCCAGCUGAGGGGCAACUGGGCUCCUUGGGACCAUGCAGCUUGCCCAUGUCUGCACAGGUGGCAAGGCAUGUAACCCCUGAGCCACUCACUGUGGGGGUGAUCUUUAGCUGGCCCUUUACACCCAGGAGACACGAGCGGGGAUUUGAACUCACAGACUCUGGACUCCCAGCCAGGCUCUCCACCCCACUGUGCUAUACCAGCUCCCUAGAGAGGUACUUUAGCAUACCUAAUUUGCAUAUAUACAGUGAAGUGUUAUUUUCUUUAUUAUAACGGCAGGUCUUCAUGCCACAUCACAGGAUGUGUGUGAAAGGUAACCCCUUUGCCUCCUCACAACAAAGGGGACAGUGAAGGAGAGACAUCAGAGGCUUUGGGGGCACCAGAGGAAGUCUUCAAGGGUGACAUUGCACCACAUUGGUGACACCAGAACGUAGGGAUAUUUCAAAGGCAACUAUGCUUCUGCUUCUUGUUCAUAGAACAGAUAUGACCUUAUAAUAAUGUAACAGAUAGGAAAUUGAGAGCUAAUCAUUUGCUGAAGAAAGACUGCAAUACUAUACUCACUUAACUUGGGAGUAAGCUCCAUACUAUGAAAUUCAGUGGGACUUUCUCCUGAGGAGACAUGUAUAGGAUUGUGCUGUCAGUGAGCUAAUAGCUUGAGGAAGGAUUUGAACCCAUGUUUCCUAAAUAACAAAUCCAAUCUGUUAGUUUUAGAAACCACAAUGGUCUGUUUCUAUUUCUCAGAGCAAAUAAUCAUCAAAAUCUAUGUCACAGUCACAGGGCAUUAUUUGUGCUUAAUCCAUUUAUAGCCCAUUCCUCACACUGUGCUGCUGACAGUCUUCAUAUGAUGGAGAAACAAGUAGCUCUGUUAUCCCCUCCCCUCAGAUAACACCACAUGUGACAUGACACUCCAUGAAGGUGCUUGGUCCACAUGUUCCUUACCCUUCAAAAGAGAAGGCCAGCUGGGUAUUCAUAUCUAGCACCUGCAAUACAUGUGACAUUAAAUAUGUAGUGGAGAGGGAUCUCUGUGCUCACUCACCUAUCAUGCAAAGACUUGAUGGUAUGUGAAUCCCUAUUUUUUAAAAAAAACUGCAUAGAAUGGCUCUUUCAUAUUGAUACACUAUAAAAUCAAAGCCUGUUUAUGUUAAAGUAUGUCCAGUUCAGCAACUUUAGUUUCACUUGAAUUUAAUGGGAUUGAGCUGGGGACCAGGCUUUUGGUUAUAAUAUUCCUACUGCUUCUUGCGUUGCUGUGAUACUCCCCACUACUAUUUUUAGAAUCUGUGUGAAUGUUCUGUAUGGCUCCUACACAGCUAAAUUAUUGUUGUUCUCCUGAGAGAUAAGUUUAUACAAUGGUUUUGUGUGGUUUUAUUUUAAUUCCUGUUCUGCUGUGAUUUUAUUGAUUUACUGUU
This is a long non-coding RNA of Rhineura floridana, 4982 nucleotides long. RefSeq lists it as uncharacterized. The record is from RefSeq and is a predicted model, not a curated record. The transcript is spliced from 3 exons. Lineage: Eukaryota; Metazoa; Chordata; Lepidosauria; Squamata; Rhineuridae.